GGGAUUGCCUCAGUAACGGCGAGUGAAGCGGCAACAGCUCAAAUUUGAAAUCUGGCCCUUUUAGGGUCCGAGUUGUAAUUUGUAGAGAGUGUUUCGGGUGAGACCACGGUUUAAGUCCAUUGGAACAUGGCGUCAUAGAGGGUGAGAAUCCCGUAUGUGACUGUGGAUCGAGCCCAUGUGAAGCCUCUUCGACGAGUCGAGUUGUUUGGGAAUGCAGCUCAAAAUGGGUGGUAAAUUUCAUCUAAAGCUAAAUACUGGCUGGAGACCGAUAGCGCACAAGUAGAGUGAUCGAAAGAUGAAAAGCACUUUGGAAAGAGAGUCAAACAGUACGUGAAAUUGUUGAAAGGGAAGCGCUUGCAACCAGACCUGUCCGUAGGUGAUCAGCCGCUGUUCUCAGUGGUGCACUCGCUCUGCGAUCAGGCCAGCAUCGGUUCGGGCGGCCGGAUAAAGGCCUUGGGAAUGUAGCUUCCUCCGGGGAGUCUUAUAGCCCUCGGUGCAAUGCGGCCAGCCGGGACCGAGGACCGCGCUUCGGCUAGGAUGCUGGCGUAAUGGUUGUAAGCGACCCGUCUUGAAACACGGACCAAGGAGUCUAACAUCUAUGCGAGUGUUUGGGUGUCAAACCCAUGCGCGGAAUGAAAGUGAACGGAGGUGAGAACCCUUAAGGGCGCAUCAUCGACCGAUCCAGAUGUCUUCGGAUGGAUUUGAGUAUGAGCAUAGCUGUUGGGACCCGAAAGAUGGUGAACUAUGCCUGAAUAGGGUGAAGCCAGAGGAAACUCUGGUGGAGGCUCGCAGCGGUUCUGACGUGCAAAUCGAUCGUCAAAUUUGGGUAUAGGGGCGAAAGACUAAUCGAACCA
Molecule: ribosomal RNA, 854 nt
Filed under: Arctoparmelia centrifuga
Lineage: Eukaryota; Fungi; Ascomycota; Lecanoromycetes; Lecanorales; Parmeliaceae
Description: eukaryotic LSU rRNA
Rfam family: Eukaryotic large subunit ribosomal RNA
Source: RNAcentral